UAUGUGAGGUCUUAACCAAGUUUCGGAA
Molecule: non-coding RNA, 28 nt
Filed under: Bombyx mori (domestic silkworm)
Lineage: Eukaryota; Metazoa; Arthropoda; Insecta; Lepidoptera; Bombycidae
Source: RNAcentral